GGCGUUGGUAAAGUAUACAUUAGAUAGCUCAUUAGACACAAACAAGAAAGUCGCAUCAUAAAUUUUCUAUUAAAUAAGACAAACUAGAAAUUUGCUGUAGCACCAUUUCAUAACAGGGGACCAUGACCAUAUUUUUAUUUGAAACCGUGCCGCUAUGUCAAACACAAAAGAUGUAACCAAGCAUCACCUUCAAUUCCUUAUAUAUGCAUUUUAGGCGAUGGAAUUCUUUUUGAGACCAUCACGUCAAGAUGAAACACAUAAAUAAGCAUGACAUUUAAUAUGUAAUUUUAGCAUACCUCAGCUUCAGCCUUUUGAAGGUCUGAACACCUCUUUUCAAGCCUCUGCUUGUACAGCAACCCUGUCUUUUUAAGUUUGAUAGCUUCCUGAAUGAGAGAACUCAAUUGAGAGCUCAAAG
This 415-nucleotide unclassified non-coding RNA is filed under the name Hevea brasiliensis (rubber tree). Lineage: Eukaryota; Viridiplantae; Streptophyta; Magnoliopsida; Malpighiales; Euphorbiaceae. The record is from RNAcentral.